GAUGAACGCUGGCGGCGUGCCUAAUACAUGCAAGUCGAGCGAACGGACGAUAAGCUUUCUUUUCUGAUGUUAGCGGCGGACGGGUGAGUAACACGUGGAUAACCUACCUAUAAGACUGGGAGAACUUCGGGAAACCGGAUCUAAUACCGGAGAAUAUUUUGAACCGCAUGGUUCAAGAGUUAAAGACGGUCUUCCUGUCACUUAUAGAUGGAUCCGCGCUGCAUUGUCUAGUUGGUAAGGGAACGGCUUACCAAGGCAACGAUGCCUAGCCGACCUGAGAGGGUGAUCGGCCCACAUGGAACUGAGACCAGGUCCCGACUCCCACGGGAGGCAGCAGUAGGGAAUCUUCCGCAAUGGGCGACAGCCUGACGGAGCACAGACGCGUGAGUGAUGAAGGUCUUCCGAUCGGAAAACUCUGUUAUUAGGGAAGAACAUAUGUGUAAGUAACUGUGCACAUCUUGACGGUAACUAAUAAGAAAGCCACGGCUAACUACGUG
Molecule: ribosomal RNA, 497 nt
Filed under: uncultured bacterium
Lineage: Bacteria
Description: partial 16S ribosomal RNA
Rfam family: Bacterial small subunit ribosomal RNA
Source: RNAcentral